GAAGGCAAAUGAUGUAAUAAUCUUAUCCUACACACUGAAUUAUAUAUGUGGACUACAAUCUCUGUUUAUUAUCUGAUGCCUUC
This 83-nucleotide small nucleolar RNA is filed under the name Macleaya cordata. RNAcentral describes it as "Small nucleolar RNA R16". It matches the Rfam family "Small nucleolar RNA R16". Rfam says of the family: snoR16 is a member of the C/D class of snoRNA which contain the C (UGAUGA) and D (CUGA) box motifs. Most of the members of the box C/D family function in directing site-specific 2'-O-methylation of substrate RNAs. The record is from Rfam by way of RNAcentral. Lineage: Eukaryota; Viridiplantae; Streptophyta; Magnoliopsida; Ranunculales; Papaveraceae.